GGCGGCAGGCUUAACACAUGCAAGUCGAGCGAGACCUUCGGGUCUAGCGGCGGACGGGUUAGUAACGCGUGGGAACGUGCCCUUCACUACGGAAUAGUCCCGGGAAACUGGGUUUAAUACCGUAUACGCCCUUUCGGGGGGAAAGAAUUUCGGUGAAGGAUCGGCCCGCGUCUGAUUAGAUAGUUGGUGGGGUAAUGGCCUACCAAGUCUACGAUCAGUAGCUGGUUUUAGAGGAUGAUCAGCAACACUGGGACUGAGACACGGCCCAGACUCCUACGGGAGGCAGCAGUGGGGAAUCUUGGACAAUGGGCGCAAGCCUGAUCCAGCCAUGCCGCGUGUGUGAUGAAGGCCUUAGGGUCGUAAAGCACUUUCGCCUGUGAUGAUAAUGACAGUAGCAGGUAAAGAAACCCCGGCUAACUCCGUGCCAGCAGCCGCGGUAAUACGGAGGGGGUUAGCGUUGUUCGGAAUUACUGGGCGUAAAGCGCGCGUAGGCGGACAUUUAAGUCAGAGGUGAAAUCCCGGGGCUCAACCCCGGAACGGCCUUUGAUACUGGGUGUCUUGAGUUCGAGAGAGGUGAGUGGAAUUCCGAGUGUAGAGGUGAAAUUCGUAGAUAUUCGGAGGAACACCAGUGGCGAAGGCGGCUCACUGGCUCGAUACUGACGCUGAGGUGCGAAAGUGUGGGGAGCAAACAGGAUUAGAUACCCUGGUAGUCCACACCGUAAACGAUGAAUGCCAGUCGUCGGGUAGCAUGCUAUUCGGUGACACACCUAACGGAUUAAGCA
Molecule: ribosomal RNA, 782 nt
Filed under: uncultured Alphaproteobacteria bacterium
Lineage: Bacteria; Pseudomonadati; Pseudomonadota; Alphaproteobacteria
Description: bacterial SSU rRNA
Rfam family: Bacterial small subunit ribosomal RNA
Source: RNAcentral